RNAcentral lists this long non-coding RNA (1544 nucleotides) under Macaca fascicularis (crab-eating macaque). RNAcentral describes it as "lncRNA (ENSMFAG00000047946.1)". Lineage: Eukaryota; Metazoa; Chordata; Mammalia; Primates; Cercopithecidae. The record is from RNAcentral.
GAUGCGCGCCACUCGCCGGAACUUGGCGUCCGCCUGCGCGUCCCGCCCGAUGGUGUAGGAGCCGCGGUAGCCGAUGGUGAUGUAGCCCGAGCGCCGGCUGCCGUCCAGCGACUGGGACGGCGUGAGCAGCGGGCCCGCCGCGCCCCCAGAUGGACUGCGGCUAGCAAGCUCCAACGUGGGCGAGGGCGCCCCGGCAGAGGCGCCCUCCUGCUGUUCAGGCUCCGCGUAGCCGAGCGGCAGCAGCUCGUCUCCCAGCGAGCCCUCCUUGUGCACCCCGCGCCGCGAGGGCGGCGGCCCCAAGCCGGGCUGCUGGGGCGCCCCGAGGCGGCGCACGAGCUCUGGCAGCUCGAAGUACUCGGCCUCGCGCUGCAGCCGGCUGCGCUCGGGGAAGUAGUCGGGAAGCACAAGCUGCAAGUCCCGCAGGUAAUCCAGGAUGUAGCGGAAGAGGAAGCCGUCCCGGUCCAGAAAGAAGCGGCCUUUGCUGUCCCGGGCCAGCUCCUGCGGCUGCUGCUGCGUGAACAUGCGCCAGAGCAGCGAGUCGGGCACCGACACCACCGUGCAGCGCCGGGUCACGUACACCUGGCCCCCCACGUUCAGCUCCACGAUGUCGGGAAGAGCGGCGGCUCCGCGGAGGACGACGAGGAGCCGCUGCCGCCGCCGCCGCCGCCCCCGUUGGGUAAUCCACGUGUGCUGUCCGCCAGAGCCAUGACAGAGAGGUGGCUGGGCCGGGACAGUGGCGGGGAGCCGCGCUACACUCAAGAACUGCAGCCGCCUUCCCCGGAGCCCCAAAGCCCGGACGCUCGCUCAGCCCUGCGCCCCGCCGCCACCUCUGAAAGCCGCGCUGAGCCGAGCAGUGCGAGCGCGCCGCUGUGCGCCCUCGUGAGCUCCAGUGCGCUCCGCCCGCCUUGCCCGCGCGCUCCAGGCGAGUGCUGGGUCGCGGCCCGCGCGCUGCUUAAGUAGAGCCGCCGGCUCUGGUGCCGUGGCGCGCAGGAGGCGUGGGCGGCGGCGGAGCCUAGCUUACCCGGCGGGUGGAGGGGGGAGCGGGGACUCGAUUUGCAUCUUAAACGCGGACGCCACGCGGGGCUGCUGGCUCCACCCCGGCUCGCGAUCGCUGGGGGCGCCCGGACUGCCACCCGUCCCCCACCCACCAGCCCCGCCCUGUGGUCCCGCCCAACUUUCUCCCUCUUCCAAAGAGGACCCGCCUGAGACUUGGCGGCUUCGGAAGACAGCUCCUUGGAGGGACAAUCACUGCGCCCCCUCCCCUCUCGCCCCAGCCCGCACCCAGGGACUCUGGAAGGAGGACCUGAACUUUCUGGAGCCUCCCGCCCCGGGAGUGGAAAUGCGGGGCAGCCUCCGGCCCUCCCGCUUGCGGAACUGGCCGCUUCCAGCAGUGCAGCUGCAGCCUGCCAUCGUCGGUUGUCGUGUCACUGAAAGUAGAGAGACGCGAAAAACCUGGAGAGACGAAAGGGCCGCCCCAGUCCGAGCGCAGCCAGAUUUUGUUCAAGUUGCCUUGCAGCCAGCCUGGAAGAAGGAAAAAAAAAAAA